RNAcentral lists this microRNA precursor (59 nucleotides) under Ornithorhynchus anatinus (platypus). Its description in RNAcentral is "Oan-Mir-1405_pre stem-loop". The record is from RNAcentral. Lineage: Eukaryota; Metazoa; Chordata; Mammalia; Monotremata; Ornithorhynchidae.
UGGCCAAUGAUUGUGGCUGCACCUGAUUCAUUUUGGUGCAGCAACAGCCAUUGGUCAUA